RNAcentral lists this ribosomal RNA (497 nucleotides) under uncultured bacterium. RNAcentral describes it as "partial 16S ribosomal RNA". It matches the Rfam family "Bacterial small subunit ribosomal RNA", at positions 28 to 507 of the family's 1533-position model. The record is from RNAcentral.
GACGAACGCUGGCGGCGUGCCUAAUACAUGCAAGUUGAGCGCUGAAGGUUGGUACUUGUACCAACUGGAUGAGCAGCGAACGGGUGAGUAACGCGUGGGGAAUCUGCCUUUGAGCGGGGGACAACAUUUGGAAACGAAUGCUAAUACCGCAUAAAAACUUUAAACACAAGUUUUAAGUUUGAAAGAUGCAAUUGCAUCACUCAAAGAUGAUCCCGCGUUGUAUUAGCUAGUCGGUGAGGUAAAGGCUCACCAAGGCGAUGAUACAUAGCCGACCUGAGAGGGUGAUCGGCCACAUUGGGACUGAGACACGGCCCAAACUCCUACGGGAGGCAGCAGUAGGGAAUCUUCGGCAAUGGACGAAAGUCUGACCGAGCAACGCCGCGUGAGUGAAGAAGGUUUUCGGAUCGUAAAACUCUGUUGGUAGAGAAGAACGUUGGUGAGAGUGGAAAGCUCAUCAAGUGACGGUAACUACCCAGAAAGGGACGGCUAACUACGUA